RNAcentral lists this ribosomal RNA (1058 nucleotides) under Bacillus cereus. RNAcentral's name for it is "bacterial SSU rRNA". The stretch from base 1 to 933 matches the Rfam family "Bacterial small subunit ribosomal RNA". Lineage: Bacteria; Bacillati; Bacillota; Bacilli; Caryophanales; Bacillaceae. The record is from RNAcentral.
GUGGGGCCUCGACGGAGCUGUAGUCGCAAUAGGAGCUAGUGAGCUUGUCUUAUGAAGUUAGCGGCGGACGGGUGAGUCACACGUGGUUAACCUGCCCAUAAGACUGGGAUAACUCCGGGAAACCGGGGCUAAUACCGGAUAACAUUUUGAACCGCAUGUUCGAAAUUGAAAGGCGGCUUCGGCUGUCACUUAUGGAUGGACCCGCGUCGCAUUAGCUAGUUGGUGAGGCUCGGCUCACCAAGGCAACGAUGCGUAGCGGACUUCAGAGGGUGAUCGGACUCACUGGGAUGAGACACUACCCAGACUCCUACGGGAGGCAGCAGUAGGGGAUCUUCCCAAUGGACGAAAGUCUGACGGAGCAACGCCGCGCGAGUGAUGCAGGCUUUCGGGUCGUAAAACUCUGUUGUUAGUGAAGAACAAGUGCUAGUUGAAUAAGCUGUCACCUUGACGGUACCUAACCAGAUAGCCACGGCUAACUACGUGCCAGCAGCCGCGGUAAUACGUAGGUGGCAUGCGUAUCCGGCAUUAUCGGGCGUACAGCGCGCGCGCUCGUUUCUUAAGUCUGAUGUGAGAGCCCACGCUCACUCGUGGAGGGUCAUUCGUAAACUGGGAGACUUGAGUGCAGAAGAGCGAAAGACGCAUUCCAUGUGUAGCGUUGACAUGCGUAGAGAUAUCGAGGAACACAGUGCGAAGCUACUCUCUGGUCUGUCACUCACACUGAGGCGCGAAAGCUGGAGCAACAGGAUUAGAUACCUGUAGUCACGCUGCAACGAUGAGUGCUAAGUGUAGAGGGCUCCGCCUUUAGUGCUGAGUUACGGAUUACGACUACGCCUGGGGAGUACGGCGCAGUUGAACUCAAUGAUUGACGCGGCCCGCCAAACGUGCAGCAUGUCGUAAUCGAGCACGGAGAUCUACAGUCUGAUCUCUGACAUCCUUGAUAGGCUUCUCCUCAGGACGAGUACGGUGCAUGUUCUGUCAGCCCGUCGGUAGUUCGUAGUCCGAACUGGCAACUUGACUAGGUCAGCUAUUGGGACUCUCAUGGAACUCUGGUGCGACCU